This 187-nucleotide ribosomal RNA is filed under the name uncultured bacterium. RNAcentral's name for it is "partial 16S ribosomal RNA". It matches the Rfam family "Bacterial small subunit ribosomal RNA", at positions 340 to 524 of the family's 1533-position model. The record is from RNAcentral.
UUCGGGAGGCAGCAGUGAGGAAUAUUGGUCAAUGGACGAGAGUCUGAACCAGCCAAGUAGCGUGCAGGAUGACUGCCCUAUGGGUUGUAAACUGCUUUUAUGCGGGAAUAAAGUCAGGUACGUGUACCUGUUUGUAUGUACCGCAUGAAUAAGGACCGGCUAAUUCCGUGCCAGCAGCCGCGGUAAU